This 66-nucleotide transfer RNA is filed under the name Gloeosoma sp. GLO01. RNAcentral describes it as "tRNA-Glu". The record is from RNAcentral. Lineage: Eukaryota; Metazoa; Arthropoda; Insecta; Coleoptera; Corylophidae.
AUUUAUAUAGUUUAAUAAAAAAAACUUUAUAUUUUCAAUAUAAAAAUAGAAUUUUUCUUAUAAAUU